This 1062-nucleotide long non-coding RNA is filed under the name Lynx canadensis (Canada lynx). Its description in RNAcentral is "lncRNA (ENSLCNG00005000230.1)". The record is from RNAcentral. Lineage: Eukaryota; Metazoa; Chordata; Mammalia; Carnivora; Felidae.
CAGGGAUCUUUGUGCCGUGAAGCGAGAGCUUGAUCUCUGGCUAUUUUGUUCUGUUCUUGGUAUAAUGCAGUACACCGUUCCCAGCCAAAGCCCUGUGUUGUCUGGGCAACUCCCGUUGCCAUAGCAAUGAAAUUCUUUUGCGGGAGCAGGGUGGAUGCUAAUUGUAGCCAUUUGUUGUUCCUUCUGUCGAUCCCUUAACUAGCACAGUUGUAGAGCAGCCAGAGACUCUGGGUGAACAGCACUGAGUGCCCCCAAAAGCAUCGCUGCUGAAGGCAACCGGCUGCUCUGCUUAAAAAAUCAUUUGAGCAGCCAACAGUGCUGACAGUGCCACUAUGUGGGCAGAAGCACAGCUUGACUCGGGCCCUGACAACUGUUGAUCUGGGACUUAGGGGGAAAGAGAAGACUGUUUAAAACCUGUUGAGAAGGUACUGAUGACAUGGAGAUUAAUUUGACACCAGUCCCUCAGAGGUAGGUGCCAGGCAUAUCAUAACAACUGUGUAUCCAGGCUAAACUCAGUACUGGAAUGCCCAGAGGCUGUAGGAGACAUAUCAAUGGCUCUUCGUUUAUUUCCAUCUGAAACUACAUCACUGUGGCCUAAGAAAAUCAGAAAGUGCAGUUGACAGAAGGGUCACGUUCACACUACAAUAUCAAUUGAACUCAACGAGGACUCCAGUCGCCAAGGAGCUUAAUUAUAAUCUAGGACACUCAUACGUCUACAGAGAGGAUCAAGGCAGUUUGAGAAGAAGGAAGCCUGUAAUGUAGAAAGCAACAGAAAAAAGGAAAUGGAACUUCUUGGCUCUGUUCUAAAACGAAUCUGUUCCCGAAGUUGAAGCCCUGCUGGCAAGAUUACGAGCUUAUAAAUUAAACUGGUAAAAAAUGAUUAAGCCAAAUAUAAAGCCAUGCUCUAAGCUAUAACACUUGAAAAAAUGCUUUAUAUAAGUGACUUUAUAUAGUUUAAAUUAUGAUAUAUAUUAGAAAAAUAAAGCUAACUACAUGAUUGCAAUGCUUUUUUCUAUGUACUUGAGGAUUUGGCUUAUUCAAAUUGUAAUGGGUUUUAAUGCC